UCCCUGGUGGCUCAGAGGUUAAAGCGUCUGCCUGCAAUGUAGGAGACCUGGGUUCGAUCCCUGGGUUGGGAA
Molecule: transfer RNA, 72 nt
Filed under: Odocoileus virginianus texanus
Lineage: Eukaryota; Metazoa; Chordata; Mammalia; Artiodactyla; Cervidae
Also listed under: 7 other names
Rfam family: tRNA
About the family: Transfer RNA (tRNA) molecules are approximately 80 nucleotides in length. Their secondary structure includes four short double-helical elements and three loops (D, anti-codon, and T loops). Further hydrogen bonds mediate the characteristic L-shaped molecular structure. tRNAs have two regions of fundamental functional importance: the anti-codon, which is responsible for specific mRNA codon recognition, and the 3' end, to which the tRNAs corresponding amino acid is attached (by aminoacyl-tRNA synthetases). tRNAs cope with the degeneracy of the genetic code in two manners: having more than one tRNA (with a specific anti-codon) for a particular amino acid; and 'wobble' base-pairing, i.e. permitting non-standard base-pairing at the 3rd anti-codon position.
Source: Rfam by way of RNAcentral